Molecule: unclassified non-coding RNA, 239 nt
Filed under: Hevea brasiliensis (rubber tree)
Lineage: Eukaryota; Viridiplantae; Streptophyta; Magnoliopsida; Malpighiales; Euphorbiaceae
Source: RNAcentral
GAGGGGAACACUGGAAUCAUUGUUAUUGCUGCCACCAACAGGGCUGAUAUCCUGGAUUCUGCUUUACUCAGACCUGGACGUUUUGACAGACAGGUAAGUGUUGAUGUUCCUGAUGUACGCGGAAGGACAGAGAUUCUUAAGGUGCACGGUAGCAACAAGAAGUUCGAUACUGAUGUCUCUCUUGAAGUCAUAGCAAUGAGAACACCUGGCUUUAGUGGAGCAGACUUGGCAAAUCUUCU